CGCCUUUUGACUUGAGAGGUACUGCCUGCCCAGUGACACUUGUUCAACGGCCGCGGUAUUAUGACCGUGCAAAGGUAGCGUAAUCACUUGUCUUUUAAAUAAAGACCAGUAUGAAUGGCAAAACGAAAACUCAACUGUCUCCUCAGACAAGUCAGUGAAAUUGAUUUCCCCGUGAAGAAGCAGGGAUAAGAAUAUAAGACGAGAAGACCCUAUGGAGCUUUAAACCAAAAUCUAGCCAAUUUUAAUAACUUUUAAACAAUGGAAUUAGAUGGAAGUUUUAGGUUGGGGCGACCACGGGGAAAAAUUUAACCCCCGAGAAAGAAUUAAGAAGGACACUUCAAAAAAUAGUAAUAUUAAUAUACUGACCCAACAAUUGAUCAACGAACCAAGUUACCCUAGGGAUAACAGCGCAAUCCUUUCCCAGAGUCCUUAUCGACGAAAGGGUUUACGACCUCGAUGUUGGAUCAGGACCCCCAAAUGGUGCAAAAGCUGUUAAAGGUUCGUUUGUU
RNAcentral lists this ribosomal RNA (509 nucleotides) under Batrachoseps major (garden slender salamander). RNAcentral describes it as "partial 16S ribosomal RNA". It matches the Rfam family "Bacterial large subunit ribosomal RNA", at positions 1817 to 2581 of the family's 2925-position model. Lineage: Eukaryota; Metazoa; Chordata; Amphibia; Caudata; Plethodontidae. The record is from RNAcentral.